CGGCCUUGAAAUACCACCCUUUAAUGUUUGAUGUUCUAACGUGGACCCGUGAUCCGGGUUGCGGACAGUGUCUGGUGGGUAGUUUGACUGGGGCGGUCUCCUCCUAAAGAGUAACGGAGGAGCACGAAGGUUGGCUAAUCCUGGUCGGACAUCAGGAGGUUAGUGCAAUGGCAUAAGCCAGCUUGACUGCGAGCGUGACGGCGCGAGCAGGUGCGAAAGCAGGUCAUAGUGAUCCGGUGGUUCUGAAUGGAAGGGCCAUCGCUCAACGGAUAAAAGGUACUCCGGGGAUAACAGGCUGAUACCGCCCAAGAGUUCAUAUCGACGGCGGUGUUUGGCACCUCGAUGUCGGCUCAUCACAUCCUGGGGCUGAAGUAGGUCCCAAGGGUAUGGCUGUUCGCCAUUUAAAGUGGUACGCGAGCUGGGUUUAGAACGUCGUGAGACAGUUCGGUCCCUAUCUGCCGUGGGCGCUGGAG
This 473-nucleotide ribosomal RNA is filed under the name Shigella sonnei. RNAcentral describes it as "partial 23S ribosomal RNA". It matches the Rfam family "Bacterial large subunit ribosomal RNA", at positions 2187 to 2659 of the family's 2925-position model. The record is from RNAcentral. Lineage: Bacteria; Pseudomonadati; Pseudomonadota; Gammaproteobacteria; Enterobacterales; Enterobacteriaceae.